UGGGGGAAUUUUCCGCAAUGGGCGCAAGCCUGACGGAGCAAGACCGCGUGCGGGAGGACGGCCUAUUGGUUGUAAACCGCUUUUGAUAGGGAAGAAGUUCUGACGGUACCUAUCGAAUCAGCAUCGGCUAACUCCGUGCCAGCAGCCGCGGUAAUACGGAGGAUGCAAGCGUUAUCCGGAAUUAUUGGGCGUAAAGCGUCCGUAGGUGGUUGUUCAAGUCUGCUGUUAAAGCGUGCGGCUUAACCGCAUACCAGCAGUGGAAACUGGGCGACUAGAGUGCGGUAGGGGUCAGGGGAAUUCCCAGUGUAGCGGUGAAAUGCGUAGAUAUUGGGAAGAACACCGGUGGCGAAAGCGCCUGACUGGACCUGCACU
This 372-nucleotide ribosomal RNA is filed under the name uncultured cyanobacterium. RNAcentral's name for it is "bacterial SSU rRNA". It matches the Rfam family "Bacterial small subunit ribosomal RNA", at positions 354 to 741 of the family's 1533-position model. Lineage: Bacteria; Bacillati; Cyanobacteriota. The record is from RNAcentral.